GUCCCCUUUCUUUCUGUCUCUCUCUGCGGCACCACCAAAACCUCUCUCUCUCAGACACUCCCUUUCUCUCUCUUGAUCUGUCACGUUCUCUCUCAAAAACUCUCGUUCUCCUCCGAUUUCGACCAUCUCUCGCUCUUUAAUCUCUAAAAAUGCCUUUGAGACUCGAAAUCAAGAGGAAACUCGCGCAAAGAUCAGAGAGAGUAAAAUCUGUGGAUCUGCAUCCAUCUGAGCCAUGGAUUUUAGCAAGUUUGUACUCUGGAACUGUGUGCAUCUGGAACUACCAGUCACAGACAAUGGCGAAAUCAUUUGAAGUCACUGAAUUACCAGUUAGGUCAGCGAAGUUUAUAGCACGCAAGCAAUGGGUUGUUGCUGGAGCUGAUGAUAUGUUUAUUCGUGUAUACAAUUAUAACACAAUGGAUAAGGUUAAAGUAUUUGAGGCACACACGGAUUACAUUAGGUGUGUGGCUGUCCAUCCUACCCUGCCAUAUGUGCUAUCAUCUUCUGAUGACAUGCUCAUAAAACUUUGGGAUUGGGAGAAAGGUUGGGUGUGUACUCAGAUCUUUGAGGGCCACUCUCAUUAUGUGAUGCAAGUGACAUUUAAUCCAAAAGAUACCAACACUUUUGCUAGUGCAUCUCUGGAUCGCACCAUUAAGAUAUGGAAUCUUGGCUCUCCAGACCCUAAUUUUACACUGGAUGCCCAUCAGAAAGGGGUAAAUUGUGUUGAUUACUUUACAGGCGGUGAUAAACCAUAUCUAAUCACGGGUUCUGAUGAUCAUACUGCUAAGGUGUGGGACUAUCAAACCAAAAGUUGUGUCCAGACACUGGAAGGCCACACACACAAUGUUUCUGCAGUAUGCUUCCAUCCUGAACUUCCCAUAAUAAUAACAGGUUCUGAGGAUGGGACUGUUCGAAUAUGGCAUGCUACCACUUAUAGGCUCGAGAACACGUUGAAUUAUGGUCUUGAAAGAGUUUGGGCUGUUGGAUACAUGAAAGGUUCACGCCGGGUUGUAAUCGGCUAUGAUGAAGGAAGUAUUAUGGUAAAACUUGGUAGAGAAGUGCCUGUGGCAAGUAUGGACAACAGUGGAAAAAUAAUAUGGGCUAAGCAUAAUGAAAUUCAGACUGUGAAUAUAAAGAGUGUGGGAGCAGAUUUUGAGGUUACUGAUGGAGAAAGAUUGCCUUUGGCUGUUAAGGAGUUAGGAACCUGUGAUCUUUACCCACAAAGCCUAAAACAUAACCCAAAUGGGAGGUUUGUUGUCGUUUGUGGAGAUGGUGAGUACAUUAUAUAUACAGCUUUGGCAUGGAGGAAUAGGUCUUUUGGUUCGGCAUUGGAAUUUGUAUGGUCAUCAGAUGGUGAAUAUGCUGUCAGAGAAAGUACAUCAAAGGUUAAGAUUUUCAGUAAGAAUUUCCAGGAAAAGAAGAGUGUCCGACCAACAUUUUCAGCUGAGCAUAUUUUUGGAGGAACUUUAUUGGCAAUGUGCUCAAAUGAUUUUAUUUGUUUCUAUGACUGGGCUGAAUGCAGGCUGAUUCGACGAAUUGAUGUUAAUGUCAAAAACCUCUAUUGGGCUGAUAGUGGGGAUUUGGUGGCCAUUGCCAGUGAUACAUCAUUUUACAUCCUGAAGUACAAUCGCGAUGUAGUUACUUCUUACUUGGAUAGUGGAAGACCAGUGGAUGAACAAGGUGUUGAGGAUGCCUUUGAACUUCUUCAUGAGACAAAUGAAAGAGUUAGAACUGGUAUAUGGGUUGGAGACUGUUUCAUUUACAACAACUCCUCUUGGCGGCUUAAUUACUGUGUUGGUGGUGAGGUAACCACAAUGUUUCAUUUGGACCGGCCUAUGUAUUUGUUGGGAUAUCUAGCUAAUCAAAGCCGGGUGUAUCUCAUAGACAAAGAGUUCAAUGUUAUAGGAUACACGUUACUUCUCAGUUUGAUUGAGUAUAAGACUCUUGUGAUGCGUGGUGACCUGGAACGGGCCAAUGAACUUUUACCUUCAAUUCCCAAAGAACAUCAUAAUAGUGUGGCUCGUUUCUUGGAAUCACGGGGUAUGAUAGAGGAUGCCCUGGAAGUAGCUACUGACCCUGAUUACCGAUUUGAGCUAGCGAUGCAGCUUGGCAGAUUAGAGGUUGCAAAGGACAUUGCUACAGAAGUGCAAAGUGAGUCAAAAUGGAAGCAAUUGGGAGAAUUAGCUAUGUCCACUGGAAAGUUAGAAAUGGCUGAGGAAUGUUUAAAGCAUGCGAUGGACUUGAGUGGUUUGUUGCUGCUCUAUUCUUCUUUAGGAGAUGCUGACGGAAUAUCAAAACUUGCAUCCCUUGCUAAAGAACAGGGGAAGAACAACGUUGCCUUCCUUUGUUUGUUCAUGUUGGGUAAAUUGGAAGAGUGUCUGCAGCUGUUGGUGGACAGCAAUCGGAUCCCUGAGGCUGCUUUGAUGGCACGGUCUUAUCUUCCAAGCAAGGUCUCAGAGAUAGUCGCUCUGUGGAGGAAAGACCUUAAUAAGGUUAAUCCAAAAGCUGCUGAAUCUUUGGCUGAUCCUGAAGAGUAUCCUAAUUUAUUUGAGGACUGGCAAGUUGGUCUUGCCAUUGAAUCUAAAGUUUCCGAGACAAGGAGUAUUUAUCCUCCUGCUGAGGAAUACCUGAACUGUGCUGACAGAUCACACAUUAACCUUGUGGAGGCUUUCAGAAACUUGCAAAUGGAGGAAGAAGAGCCUCUUGAAAAUGGAGAUGCAAGUCAUGAGGUUCAGAAUGGAGAGGAGAGCCAAGAAGAACAUAAUGGAGAAGAGGCUGUUGUGGUGGAUGCUGAUUCUACUGAUGGUGCAGUACUCGUUAAUGGUAACGAGGCUGAAGAAGAGUGGGGUACGAAUAAUGAAGGAACUCCAUCGGCCUAAAAGGCAAUUGGUUGGGCCAGUGUGAAAAUCCAAAUUUUGUCUCUGGAGCCUGAAGUCCCUAAUCAAUAUGCUACAGUGCUUACACCACGUCACUAGGUCUCACCAAGACAGUCGGUCCCAGCUAUAUUCAUUCCCUACUCAAGGUUGUUCCCGGAGGUGACCAAAAUAGAUGAUUGCAGGGACCGAUGGUCUCAGUUUCCAGUGGUGUGGUUUCAGUGCAUUGAAUUUUGUCAAACGGAGCACAUAUAAUACAAACAGAUUCUCGGCUUCGAUUACUCUUUUAGCCCAUCUUUUUAAUUGUUCUUUUAGCAUAUAUUCUUUUGAGGCCCCCUUUUCCUUUUUGUUUUUUUUCUUUUUAAAUUUUCUUGUGCCAUUGUGAAUGUAGAAAAGUUUGAAUUAGUGAGAUGCUUACCCAUUCAACCCUCCUUGCUCAUUUUUAAAAUUCUAUAUACUUGGAUUCCGAUCAUGUUCAAUUCAUGUUUUGGACAAUGGGACUGUAAACAUAACUCGGAAUCAUCAUUUACUUGUAUUAGUGAACAGGCUUGCCAUUUUAGAACAGUGAAUGGCCCUGUUCGGUUAGUAGUUUUUUGCAUAAGUUGGUCCAACAGAGUCCCCGGAUGGACUUUUAUAGCUCCGUUAUUUGCUUAUCAA
RNA transcript from Vitis riparia (riverbank grape), 3527 nucleotides. It is a transcript of the gene named coatomer subunit beta'-1, with no coding region annotated. NCBI's taxonomy places the organism in Eukaryota, Viridiplantae, Streptophyta, Magnoliopsida, Vitales, Vitaceae. The transcript has 27 exons. The record is from RefSeq and is a predicted model, not a curated record.